CAGCAUGAAGCCCAAGAAUCAUACCCAGCACAAAGAAGAAAAUAAAGCUGAGAUCCAAUCAAAUGUCCAAGGGCACUGGGUGCCAUGAGAAGGAGGUAACAUUAAGGAAGUAACGGAAUUUGGAGACACACCAUAGCAGGGACAGGAGAGUGGGCCCUACCGUCGCACUGAACAAGGAGAGGACAUGGCGUCACCGAGAAGAAGCUCUGUAACCUGGAUGAGAGGCGUAGCUUAGCUCCAUUUCCUCGCCCUGAGUGGACUUGUGGACCUGGUUAUGAGGCUUCCCUGAGAUAAACCAAAAACUAUCAGGUCAAAGUUGGACAGGACAAACCAACAGAAGAACAAGAGCUGAAGAGAGGCCACAAGAAUCAGAGACCCACCAUUUGCAUGCUCAGGAGUCCCAUAAAACACUAAACUGGGAGCCA
Non-coding RNA from Peromyscus maniculatus bairdii (prairie deer mouse), 425 nucleotides. Lineage: Eukaryota; Metazoa; Chordata; Mammalia; Rodentia; Cricetidae. The record is from RefSeq and is a predicted model, not a curated record.